UACGUAGGGUGCGAGCGUUAAUCGGAAUUACUGGGCGUAAAGCGUGCGCAGGCGGCGCGUUAAGACAGGUGUGAAAGCCCCGAGCUUAACUUGGGAAUUGCGCUUGUGACUGGCGUGCUGGAGUGUGGCAGAGGGAGGUGGAAUUCCACGUGUAGCAGUGAAAUGCGUAGAGAUGUGGAGGAACACCGAUGGCGAAGGCAGCCUCCUGGGCCAGCACUGACGCUCACGCACGAAAGCGUGGGGAGCAAACAGG
RNAcentral lists this ribosomal RNA (253 nucleotides) under uncultured bacterium. RNAcentral describes it as "partial 16S ribosomal RNA". It matches the Rfam family "Bacterial small subunit ribosomal RNA", at positions 524 to 776 of the family's 1533-position model. The record is from RNAcentral.